RNAcentral lists this transfer RNA (73 nucleotides) under Corynebacterium striatum. RNAcentral describes it as "tRNA-Gln". It matches the Rfam family "tRNA". Rfam says of the family: Transfer RNA (tRNA) molecules are approximately 80 nucleotides in length. Their secondary structure includes four short double-helical elements and three loops (D, anti-codon, and T loops). The record is from RNAcentral. Lineage: Bacteria; Bacillati; Actinomycetota; Actinomycetes; Mycobacteriales; Corynebacteriaceae.
UCCCUCAUGGUGCAAUUGGCAGCACGCCGGGUUUUGAUCCCGGAGGUUCUACGUUCGAUCCGUAGUGAGGGAG